Molecule: non-coding RNA, 339 nt
Organism: Pelmatolapia mariae (spotted tilapia)
Lineage: Eukaryota; Metazoa; Chordata; Actinopteri; Cichliformes; Cichlidae
Source: the annotation of a RefSeq genome assembly
AUGUGUGAUACCCGCCCCGCCCUGACAGUGCUGCCCCCCUCCAACAAGGAGCUGGAGAAUGGGAAGGCCACGCUCAUGUGUGUGGCCAACAAGGGCUUCCCCUCAGACUGGAGUCUGUCCUGGAAGACGAGCGACAGCAGUGGCAGCAGCAGCAUCAGAGGGGAGGAGAGCAGGACUCCUGGAGUGCUGCAGAAUGACGGCCUCUACAGCUGGAGCAGCACCCUGACGCUCACUGCAGACCAGUGGGGGAAGGUGGGCUCUGUGACCUGUGAGGCCACCCAGGGCUCCCAGACUCUGGUCUCAGAGAUACUGAGGAGAGACCAGUGUUCCCAGUCCUGA